Long non-coding RNA from Apus apus (common swift), 1335 nucleotides. RefSeq lists it as uncharacterized. The transcript is spliced from 7 exons. The record is from RefSeq and is a predicted model, not a curated record. NCBI's taxonomy places the organism in Eukaryota, Metazoa, Chordata, Aves, Apodiformes, Apodidae.
UUGCGUGGCUCCCUGCACACCUUUGGUUGGCUCUGUAAUUGUAGUGAUGGGAUUCACCAGGAGCUGCCAGCCUUGCCAACACAUCCCUGCUGGUGGUACCCAGGCUGUGUGCUCCAGGCACUGAAGGCACUUUGGAUGAGAGCAGGAAGGCAAUGAUGAACAUCUCAAUCCUUGCACCAGCAUCCAACCUAAAAGCCCAGGGCUGCUGCUGGAAAGUAGCACGUAUUGCAGCGACAGCAGAGCCUGCAGCCUCUGGAGUCCAGAUGGAUUAGAGCCUAAAGAGAGAGCUGAGCUCCCUAAUGGACACACGCCGUGUUUUCAAGCAUCUGUGCAUCUUUUCCUGAUUGUCUGCUGUUAAGCCCUCGUUUCAGGCAGCGCUGGGCUCUCUGCUGCAUGCCAGCAACAGCUCUUCCAAACUUCCUUGAUUGUGUCUCUGCCUGUUGCUCGCGCUCGCGAUGGAAUGGAAGGCAGCAAGAGUGACGGAGUUGAAAUGAGCAGCGAGAGGAACCUGAGCUGAAUUUUGGGAAGGGCUUGGUUAGAGUGAAAUGGAAAAGGAAGGCUCUUUUCCUGUGGCCUGGAGUCAGUGUUUAAAAAAUAAGGGAGUGGAAGAGACCCCAUUGGACUACAAGGAGACUUUCAGUGUCUGACCCCUGGGAGCUGCCUUCAGCCCAUGCUUCUGCAGGUUUUGCCAUAAGUGAGAGAAUGUGACCAUGCUCAAGAAGAGAGCUGAUACAACAGCAGCUGCUGCCAUCCCUGCCUGACUUCCAGAGAUCUCCAGUUCUGGACUGGCGAGGCAGAAGGAGCCUCCAGUAGCACACACCAGUGAUUUUUCCUGCAUGACCUCCCCUUUCCCCACCGGUCCUCAAACCCAGAUGCUCUGGUGGAGUUCAGUCCCACAGAGGUCCAAUCUAAAGAGCUGAAGUGACAGUGAAAUCUGCCGCAUCCUCAGGAACCUUGGUGCCUCCACCAGGAUUUUACCACGUUCUCCUUUAUUUCCCAGUCUCCUGGCAAGGAGGAACUUCUCCACUUUGCAGCAGAGUUGGACUGAAGAUCCAGCUGGCAGAGAAACAAAGAGCUGAACUUUUCAAAAGGCCACCAAGGAGCUUUGCCUCACAGCUCUCCUAAGCACACUGAGAAGGUCACCAUGGGUUAAAUAUCAUCAGCUGCCACCCUGGUAGGGAUGGAAACCAAAAGCAUUGUGGCCUCUUCAAGAUGCAUGGACAUGGUGAGCUGGAGGGCUGUGGCUCAGCUGUGCCCAGAAGCUCUGGAGAAGCCCCAGUGACCGUGCAGCCCCUCUGCUGUUGACCCUCCCGCCCCCUGCAAAGUGCAACUAAG